UUACGUUAGCGUCUUAGCUGCUAACGUUAGCAGCGAAGACGCUACGUUAGCGUUUUAGCUCGACGAGCAGAGGGGAACUACUAUCCCAGUUAUCCAACAGGGCAAUCCCAAGAGAGUCUAGAGGAGGAGAGGCUGGCACUACUGGCUGAGGUGACAAAAAGCAACAGCAACAAGUGGUGAAGGAGAAAAUGGAGAGGACGUUCGCCUCCAGGCGGCAUGAGGUGGUCAAAGACACGCCGUUCAUCUCAGAGUUUAAUAGAAGGAGGCCAGCUCUCUUCUCACAGCGUGAGGUGGAGGCAGAGUUUACUCGCUGAGAUCUAAGUUCAUGCAGCAGCUGGUACACCACUCCUCCAGGCUGACGGCAGUUUUUCAAAAGAAAGGAGGAGCUGCAGGACAAAAAAUUAAAAAUAUCAUGGAAGAUUUAGACAAGAAUGAAAGUGUUGAAACAAGAAGAAGCUGCAUCCUCAGAGCACUGAUUCAACGAAGACCCUGAAAAUCUACUAAGGGAGUACCUUGAUGUUGAAGACAACCAUGAGGCCAUGGGAGCAGACAGUCCUGGGACUCUUCACCGUAAAGAAAGAAGGUGGCGAACCAACAGAUGACCUGGAAGAUGUUGGGAUCAUCAUAGAAGGGGGGUGGAGGUGCUGAGGUGCUUCAUGACCUCGGUGACAUUUGCAAAUGCAGUGGACAUUUUAUUUGGCCUCAUGUACUCACUGGACUUGAGCUACCCAACAAACCUGAGGCACACAUUUGAGGUUCUGCAAAAACGUGUUUUCCUGAUGGUUGUGGUAUUAAAAGGUAAUGUUGAACAUUUUCUAUGCAGCACUGUUAGAGAUUGCCAACUGAGUGAAUGGUACCAUUUUUGUUUGGUUAAACAUUGUUAAGAUUGAUGUCUGAAGGUGGAAGAUGUUGACUGACAUUGUCUUGAACCCUGACAGUUCACCAGUUGUCUGUUUUAUUGGCAAUAAAUUGGAUUUUUCAAAGAAA
Stegastes partitus (bicolor damselfish) is the source of this 987-nucleotide long non-coding RNA. RefSeq lists it as uncharacterized. The record is from RefSeq and is a predicted model, not a curated record. Lineage: Eukaryota; Metazoa; Chordata; Actinopteri; Pomacentridae. The transcript has 4 exons.